CAAAGGCCCCAAAGGAAGCCACGGCUAACUCUGUGCCAGCAGCCGCGGUAAUACAGAGGUGGCAAGCGUUGUUCGGUAUUAUUGGGCGUAAAGAGCACGUAGGUGGUUCUGUAAGUCAGAUGUGAAAGCCUUCUGUUCAAAGGAAGAACGGCAUCUGAAACUACAGAUCUUGAGUGUAGGAGGGGAGAGUGGAACUUCUGGUGGAGCGGUGAAAUGCGUAGAUAUCAGAAGGAACGUCGGCGGCGAAAGCGACUCUCUGGCCUAUUACUGACACUGAGUGUGCGAAAGCUAGGGGAGCAAACGGGAUUAGAUACCCCGGUAGUCCUAGCCGUAAA
Molecule: ribosomal RNA, 335 nt
Filed under: uncultured Planctomycetales bacterium
Lineage: Bacteria; Pseudomonadati; Planctomycetota; Planctomycetia; Planctomycetales
Description: bacterial SSU rRNA
Rfam family: Bacterial small subunit ribosomal RNA
Source: RNAcentral